GGCUUAACACAUGCAAGUCGAACGCCCCGCAAGGGGAGUGGCAGACGGGUGAGUAACGCGUGGGAAUCUACCCAGCUCUACGGAAUAACUCAGGGAAACUUGUGCUAAUACCGUAUACGUCCGAUAGGAGAAAGAUUUAUCGGAGUUGGAUGAGCCCGCGUUGGAUUAGCUAGUUGGUGGGGUAAUGGCCUACCAAGGCGACGAUCCAUAGCUGGUCUGAGAGGAUGAUCAGCCACAUUGGGACUGAGACACGGCCCAAACUCCUACGGGAGGCAGCAGUGGGGAAUAUUGGACAAUGGGCGAAAGCCUGAUCCAGCCAUGCCGCGUGAGUGAUGAAGGCCCUAGGGUUGUAAAGCUCUUUCAACGGUGAAGAUAAUGACGGUAACCGUAGAAGAAGC
This 398-nucleotide ribosomal RNA is filed under the name grassland soil clone saf2_214. Its description in RNAcentral is "bacterial SSU rRNA". It matches the Rfam family "Bacterial small subunit ribosomal RNA", at positions 45 to 491 of the family's 1533-position model. The record is from RNAcentral.